AAUAUAACCUAGUUUAUAUAAUCAUUCUUUAACCACUUUACUUAACAAUUUAAUCCAUUAACUUUCAUUUAACAAUUUAGCCAUUAGCCCAAUAAACAAUUGUAACUCAAGGCCAAUUAACCCGACCCAACCGCCCCUUCCAAUUCUUUCUCCCGCUCUCUUCUUCUGAUCGUAAUUUUAAACAUGUUUGUAAUGACGUUUGACGUGUUUUGAUGGUUAUAUAAAUUUUUAGUUUGGUGUUCUUUUGUUUUAUAUGGCCCGACCCGAGCCCACCCGAUAUAAACCGAAUUCUUUUUAUAUACCUAGGGGCCUAAAAUUUUUAAAAAUAUCUCACACCCCCAUGGAAAAAUUUCUAGGUCCGCCACUGGUGGGUGAUAAGGUUGAACCAAGUAUGAGCCGUGGUGGAGAAGAAGGUCCCUGGGACGGGGAGUUCUGUUCAGGCUGGGGAUUCUGCUGUUGAAGAGAAAGAUGAGGAAGGUUCUUCUGAUAGGAAAGAGUACUCCCGGGGUUCCCUCCGGAUGAAAAGCUCUAGCAACGAUGAAGAUGACGAGGAUCUGGAGAGCCGUUUGAUCCGUAAACGAAAAGCAGCCCAGACCAGUAGCCCCAAAGUGGCCCCUGCCUCUCGAAACAUUCGGCUAAGGCCCCAGAGUGCCAGUGGUCAGAAGACUUUUCCUGCUACCAAAACCGCUUCUGAACUUCCUCCUGUUGGGGCCAAGGGCUCUUUGUCCAAGAACUUGAGGGAAGCUCCAAGGAUACGAUUGAAAUUCCUCCUGCCCCUUCCUCUUCUCGAGUCAGGGAUAAAACUCCUGAAAUUAGUGCUGCUCGCGUCAUUCCUGCCUUUGAUAUUUCUCCUCUUCAUGCCACCGGGACUAGCAAGCCUUCUCAUCCUGAGGGUCUUGCUUUUCAGUCCCCUUUGGCCCCUUUGUUUGCUGAGGGUCUUCCGGUCCCGUAUGUCCCUAAGUGGAAAAUAACUUCAUCCACUAUUGUGGGGACCCCUGAGAUUGCUCGGGACUUCUUGGCUCAUGUCGUUCCCCCUUCUCACAAAUUUAUGAAUUCUGCCCUGAGACCUGAUCUCUUUGAUGAUCAAUACAGCAUGUCUCUUUGUGAGGGGUUUUUAGGGGGGCCGGUAUGUUGCUGCGGAUGAAUGAGCUGAGGAGGGAAAACGAGGAGUUAAGGACUGAGCUUAGGACUUCUUAAACCAUUGCUGCCGAACUUUGGUGCCAGUUGACUGAUGUUGAGAGGAAGUUGUUGGAGGAGAAGAGUGCUGGAGCUAUGUUGGAGCAAAAGGAGCAGGCUUCGGAAAGGGAGAGGACAGCUUGGGUUGGGGAGAAGGAGGAGCUAGUUGCUGAACUAAAGCAUCAGAAAGAGGUUGACUCUGUUUCCCAGGGGGAUCUGAACACCAUGUAUGUCAAAUGAGGAUUGCUGUGGAUGAUAAUCAGAAGCUAGCUAAGGAGACGUACUGGCUUAUUACUGAGGGGUUUGGGUCCUUCCUAACUGUUGUCUACCAGUCCGAGGAGUUCAAGGGCAGUCUUGAGAGAAUUUAUAGGGCUUACCGAGAUGUGGGGUAUCAGGCGGGUCUGAAGGAUGGGUAUGCUUACUCUGCUCAGGGUUUAGGGAGGAAAGAGACUCCUCUUUACAAUUCAAGGGCCAAGAAGCAAUUGUCCAAUCUGGACAAAGAGUUUGGAGAGAAGACCCCUACCUUGCUUGAGAGAAUUCUUGAGCAGCCCCUGAUGUCUAUUGACGAACUCAAAGCCCUACUUACUCCCGCUGGACCCUCCUCGCCCAAGUCUUUGUCUGGGUUGCCUCCCGGUAGUUUCAAAACAAUUGUUUAUUUGAUAUGGUUGUAACUUAAUACUUAUGUACCUUGGAUACUGUUGACUUUUGCUUUUGGGGAGGCCUUUGUGUUGGGGUCUUCCCAGUGUCUAACCGUACUAUGCUUUUGUAGUUAUUUCAUAACUGUAUGUUACUGGUGUGCUCCUGUUUGCUGGUUUUGCUUCCUUGUUGUUUACAGGUGCUGUUACCAGUAGCUUGGGAGCUCUUUGUGUCUUUACCCGGGGUCGCUUCUCUUCUCCAGGGAUUUGCUAAGGCAUAGGAGUUGGUUUGG
Molecule: long non-coding RNA, 2104 nt
Organism: Helianthus annuus (common sunflower)
Lineage: Eukaryota; Viridiplantae; Streptophyta; Magnoliopsida; Asterales; Asteraceae
Exons: 3
Source: RefSeq, a predicted model, not a curated record